RNAcentral lists this ribosomal RNA (310 nucleotides) under Acanthodactylus opheodurus (Arnold's fringe-fingered lizard). RNAcentral's name for it is "partial 12S ribosomal RNA". It matches the Rfam family "Bacterial small subunit ribosomal RNA", at positions 869 to 1344 of the family's 1533-position model. The record is from RNAcentral. Lineage: Eukaryota; Metazoa; Chordata; Lepidosauria; Squamata; Lacertidae.
CCGCCAGAGAACUACUAGUGAAAAACUUAAAACUCAAAGGACUUGGCGGUGUCCCAUUUCGGCCUAGAGGAGCCUGUCCUGUAAUCGACACCCCCCGUUCCACCCAACCUUCACUUGCACAUUCAGCCUAUAUACCGCCGUCGACAGUCUACCCCAUGAGGGUCUUUUAGUAGACACAAUAGCAACUGCUCGCUAGCACGUCAGGUCAAGGUGUAGCAUAUGUUAAGGUAGCGAUUGGCUACAUUUUUUAUUAGUAAACAAACGAAAUGCAACAUGAAACAUUGCACGAAGGUGAAUUUAGUAGUAAAAU